Molecule: ribosomal RNA, 497 nt
Filed under: uncultured bacterium
Lineage: Bacteria
Description: partial 16S ribosomal RNA
Rfam family: Bacterial small subunit ribosomal RNA
Source: RNAcentral
GAUGAACGCUGGCGGCGUGCCUAAUACAUGCAAGUCGAGCGAACGGACGAGAAGCUUGCUUCUCUGAUGUUAGCGGCGGACGGGUGAGUAACACGUGGAUAACCUACCUAUAAGACUGGGAUAACUUCGGGAAACCGGAGCUAAUACCGGAUAAUAUUUUGAACCGCAUGGUUCAAAAGUGAAAGACGGUCUUGCUGUCACUUAUAGAUGGAUCCGCGCUGCAUUAGCUAGUUGGUAAGGUAACGGCUUACCAAGGCAACGAUGCAUAGCCGACCUGAGAGGGUGAUCGGCCACACUGGAACUGAGACACGGUCCAGACUCCUACGGGAGGCAGCAGUAGGGAAUCUUCCGCAAUGGGCGAAAGCCUGACGGAGCAACUCCGCGUGAGUGAUGAAGGUCUUCGGAUCGUAAAACUCUGUUAUUGGGGAAGAACAUAUGUGUAAGUAACUGUGCACAUCUUGACGGUACCUAAUCAGAAAGCCACGGCUAACUACGUG